Molecule: ribosomal RNA, 680 nt
Filed under: uncultured bacterium
Lineage: Bacteria
Description: bacterial SSU rRNA
Rfam family: Bacterial small subunit ribosomal RNA
Source: RNAcentral
GGUUUUCGGACCAAGAGACCGGCGCACGGGUGCGUAACGCGUAUGCAAUCUACCUUUCACAGAGGGAUAGCCCAGAGAAAUUUGGAUUAAUACCUCAUAGUAUAGCUGAACCGCAUGGUUCUACUAUUAAAGUCACAACGGUGAAAGAUGAGCAUGCGUCCCAUUAGCUAGUUGGUAUGGUAACGGCAUACCAAGGCUACGAUGGGUAGGGGUCCUGAGAGGGAGAUCCCCCACACUGGUACUGAGACACGGACCAGACUCCUACGGGAGGCAGCAGUGAGGAAUAUUGGUCAAUGGACGCAAGUCUGAACCAGCCAUGCCGCGUGCAGGAUGACGCUCCUAUGGAUUGUAAACUGCUUUUGUACGAGAAGAAACAACAUUACGUGUAAUGUCUUGACGGUAUCGUAAGAAUAAGGAUCGGCUAACUCCGUGCCAGCAGCCGCGGUAAUACGGAGGAUCCAAGCGUUAUCCGGAAUCAUUGGGUUUAAAGGGUCCGUAGGCGGUUUAGUAAGUCAGUGGUGAAAGCCCAUCGCUCAACGGUGGAACGGCCAUUGAUACUGCUAGACUUGAAUUAUUAGGAAGUAACUAGAAUAUGUAGUGUAGCGGUGAAAUGCUUAGAGAUUACAUGGAAUACCAAUUGCGAAGGCAGGUUACUACUAAUGGAUUGACGCUGAUGGGCG